UGAUUCUGAGUUAAAGAAUUCAGAAUAAAGGGGCUUGCUUUGCCCGUUAACAAUAGGUAACCCAUUCCCUGUCUUUGUUUCUAUUGCAUUCUAUCUCAUCGUAUCACAUUCUGUCCUACGAGAUUAGAGAAUCACCAUCAAUACCUCGGUCUAGGUCCGAUAUAAUCCUUUGUUCCAUAGCCCUGGGGUGGGGCUAUUUACAACUAGCCAAUUAAGAAGUCUCAGAUGUACACUAGCACUGCAUCUUUGGUGUUACAUGUAUUGAUGGUGAUUCAUUAGAAGUAUAUAACUUAUAGAAACAUACAUGCCUAGUUGAGAUGGAAAUCAUAAUACCAUAAUGCUUUUCAAAUCCUCCUAGCCAUUAUCCUACUGCAAUAAUUCUUGCUAAGAAGAAUGCCCAUGUUGUGGCAAUUCCAUCCAGAAGGUAAUGGGUUACUACGGCACCUGGCGCAUUACCCCAAAGAUGUCCUAAAGUUCCUCCACUGAACUGUAGUACGGAAUCAUCCCCAAAGAUCUCGGUCAGAGCAGGCAUAUGCCAAAUAUGAAUACCUCCGGAAGCCACAGGUUGAACACCUGGUAAAGAGACCCAAUCUUGAGUGAAAUAAAUACCGCGACUUUGAUCUUGUUCAACAAAAUCAUCACGCAAUAAAUCAACAAAGCCCAAAGUUAUGUCUCUUUCACCUUCAAGUUUACCUACUACGGUACCAGCAUGAAUAUGAUCUCCACCAGACAUACGUAAUGCUUUUGCUAAUUCCCAGAAGUGGAUACCAUGAUUCUUCUUUCUAUCAAUAACCGCAUGCAUUGCACGGUGGAUGUGAAGAAGUAGACCAUUAUCUCAGCAAUAAUGAGCCAAGCUAGUAUUUACGGUGAAUCCCCUCAUUAAGUAGUUAUGCAUUACGAUUGGAACACCCAAUUCUCUAGCAAAUAUAGCUCUUUUCAUCAUUUCUUCACAUGUACCUACUGUAGCAUUCAAGUAAUGCCCUUUGAUUUCACCUGUUUCAGUCUGUGCUUUAAAAAGUGCUUCGGCACAAAAUAAGAAACUAUCUCUCCAAUGCAUAUAUGGUUGUGAGUUCACGUUCUCAUCAUCUUUGGUAAAAUCAAGUCCACCGUAAAGACAUUCAUAAACAGCUCUACCGUAGUUUUUAGCAGAUAACCCCAAUUUAGGUUUAAUAGUACAUCCCAACAGGGGACGACCGUACUUGUUCAAUUUAUCUGUUUCAACUUGGAUCCUAUGAGGCGGACCUUGGAAAGCUUUAAUAUAAGUAGUAGGGACUCGCAGAUCUUCUAGACGUAGAGCACACAGGGCUUUGAACCUAAAUACAUUACCUACAAUGGAAGUAAACAUGUUGGUAACGGAACCUUCUUCAAAAAGGUCUAAAGGGUAAGCUACAUAAGCAAUAUAUUGAUGUUUUACUCCAAUAACACGCUCGAUGCGGUAGCAUCACCCUUUGUAACGAUCAAGACUAGUAAGUCCAUCGGUCCAUACAGUUGUCCAUGUACCAGUAGAUGAUUUGGCAGCUACCGCGGCCCCUGCUUCUUUAGGUGGAACUCCAGGUUGAGGAAUUACUCGGAAUGCUGUCAAUAUAUCAGUAUCCUUGGUUUGGUACUCAGGAGUCUAAUAAGUUAAUUUGUACUCUUUAACACCAGCUGUGAAUCCAACACUUGCUUUAGUCUCUAUUUGUGGUGACAUAAAUCCCUCCCUACAACUCAUGAAUUAAGAAUUCUCACAACAACAAGGUCUACUCGACACGAAUUACGCGUUAAUGAAACUUUUCACAGGAAUCUUUCAGAAAAUUUCCAACUAAUACUAAUAUUAUCAAUUAAUCAGAAUGGUUGAUUAUUAGACCAUGGUAUUUGAUUUGCCAAAUACAUCAUUAUUGUAUACUCUUUCAUAUAUAUAGCGCAACCCAAUUUUGAUUUUUUACCUUUUUUUUUGAAAUGGAAAUACCUAACUAAACUAAAUAAUAAGAACUUCCCCCUUGACAGUGGUAUAUGUUGUAUAUGUAAAUCCUAAAUGUGAAAAUAUAUGGAAUUCCGCUAUGAAAGGUAUAAAAAAGAAAGAAAAACGCAAAGAAAAGAAUAGGCUAGGCAUAAAUCAAUAUGCUGAAAUUUAACUAAAAAAUAAAUAAGAAAAAUAAGAAGAGGAGCCCAUUAGAUCCAAAUAGUGAAUCGUAAUAGAAAUAUAAAAUAAAGUUCAGGUUCGAAUUCCAUAGAAUAGAUAAUAUGGAUGGGAUUGUCUAUAAUGAUAGACAAAUGAAAGACUUUCUCAAGAUUCUGAUUCAUCCACUUGAGAUUUUUAAAUUAAAAUAGGUUGGGUGAGCUUGCAAAUUAACUCAAUCUCAUUGAAUAAGUAAACAAUUGAAUUGGUUCAAUUGCAUGGUGCCAACGAAAUUGAGUGCUAAUUCCCAUUUUAUUGAAUUAACCGAUCGACGUACUAGCGGACAUUUACUUUGAAUUCGAUAAUUUUUGAAAAAACAUUUUGACAUAUUUAUUUAUUUUAUUAUUAUAAGAAUCAAUCCUACUAAUUAUGGUUCUGGGGUUUCCACACUUGAAAAAAAAAACUGGGGUGUGUCGUCCAAAUCAUCGGUCUGGUACUAGAUGUAGCCUUUCCUCCGGGCAAGAUGCCAAAUAUUUAUAACGCUCUCGUAGUUCAAGGGCGAGAUAGUAUUGGUAAACCAAUUAAUAUGGCUUGUGAGGUACAACAAUCAUUAGGAAAUAAUCAAGUUAGAGUUGUAGCUAUGAGUGCUACAGACGGUUUAAUGAGAAAAAUGGAAGUGAUUGACACAGAAGCUCCUAUAAGUGUUCCGAUCGGAGGGGCAACUCUGGGAUGAAUUUUUAACGUGCUCGGAGAGAUGUUGUUAAUUUAAGGCCUGUAGAUACCAGUACAACAUCUCCUAUUCAUAGAUCUACGCCCGCCUUUAUACAGUUGGAUACAAAAUUAUCUAUUUUUCAAACAGGAAUUAAAGUAGUAGAUCUUUUAGGCCCUUAGCGUCGUGGAGGAAAAAUUGAACUAUUCAGGGGAGAUGGAGUGGGUAAAACAGUACUCAUUAUGGAAUUGAUUAACAAUAUUGCUAAAUCUCACGGGGGCGUAUCUGUAUUUGGCGGAGUGGGUGAACGUACUCAGGAAGGAAAUGAUCUUUACACGAAAAUGAAAGAAUCUGGAGUGAUUAAAGAAAAAAAUAUUGCGGAAUCAAAAGUGGCCGUAGUUUAUAGUCAGAUGAAUGAACCACCAGGAGCUCGUAUGAGAGUUGGUUUGACUGGCCUAACUAUGGCGGAAUAUUUCUGAGAUGUUAAUGAGCAAGAUGUACUUCUAUUUAUUGACAAUAUCUUCCGUUUCGUCCAAGCAGGAUCCAAAGUAUCAGCCUUAUUGGGUAGAAUGCCUUCCGCUGUGGGUUAUCAACCGACCCUAAGUACUGAAAUGGGUUCUUUACAAGAAAGAAUUACUUCUACCAAAGAAGGGUCCAUAACCUCUAUUCAAGCAAUUUAUGCACCCGCAGACGAUUUGACCGACCCUGCUCCUGCUAAGACAUUUGCACAUUUAGAUUCUACUACCAUACUAUCAAGAGGAUUGGCUGCCAAAGGUAUUUAUCCAGCAAUAGAUCCUUUAGAUUCAACAUCAACCAUGCUUCAACCUCAGAUCAUUGGUGAGAAACAUUACGAAACCGCCCAACGAGUUAAGCAAACUUUACAACGUUACAAAGAAAUUCAGGACAUUAUAGCUAUCCUUGGAUUGGAUGAAUUAUCUGAAGAGGAUCAUUUACUCGUAGCAAGAGCAUAAAAAAUUGAGCGUUUGUUAUCACAACCCUUUUUCAUAGCAGAAGUAUUUACUGGUUCUCUAGGGAAAUAUGUUGGUCUAGCAAAAACAAUUUGAGGAUUUCAAUUGAUCCUUUCCGAAGAAUUAGAUGGUCUUCCUGAACAGGCUUUUUAUUUGGUAGGUAAUAUCGAUGAAGCUACCGUGAAGGCUAUGAACUUAGAAAUGGAGAGCAAUUUGAAGAAAUAACCUUAAAUCUUAGUGUACUGACUCCUAAUCGAAUUGUUUGGGAUUCAGAAGUGGAAGAAAUCGUGCUAUAUACUAAUAGUGGUAAAAUUAGCAUAUUACCAAAUCACGCCCCUAUUGCCACAGUUGUAGAUAUAGGGAUUUUGCGAAUACGCCUUAACAACCAAUGGUUAACGAUGGCUCUGAUGGGUGCUUUUACUAGACUAGGCAAUAAUGAGAUCACUGUUUUAGUAAAUGAUGCAGAUAAGGGUAGUGACAUUGAUCCACAAGAAGCUCAGCAAACUCUUGAAAUAGCGGAGGCUAAUGUGAAAAAGGCUGAAGGAAGGAGACAAUAAAUUAAGGCAAAUCUAGCUCUCCGAAGAGCUAGAACACGGGUGGAGGCUAUCAAUCUGAUUUCAUAACAAGUUAGUACGACUAGUUAGUACAUUCGAAUAAUAAAAAGAAGUUCUUUUUCUAAUCCUAUUUAGAUUCUGUCGGGUGAAUACAAUCAAAUACAAUCAAACAGAAGCCAAUUCUGAUGCAAAAAUUCAAAUUUAAAAAUGAAAUAGAAAAGAUACAAAAUCAAAAAAUAAAUAUCACUAAAGGUGGGUUGUAACCCAUAUUAGAUACCAUUGACUCUGGUAUCUAAUAAGUUUUACCUACUAUUAGAUUUGAACCAAUGACUCCCUCCGUAUGAAAGCAGUACUCUAACCACUGAGUUAAGUAGGUCAUUUAUCAUUCCAAAGAGAACCAAACGAAACCCAUCCUGUCGAUGGAUUAUAAAUAUCAUAUUACUUAUAAGCAAUACUAAUCUAAUAAGCAAUACUAAUCUAAGGAAUACCACUCAAAGAGAUCAAAGAUUGUUGAUGUUGGAUCAUGGAAUAUUUAUCUUGACAAGAAUUUAUCUACAUGAUAAAAUAUGUAUCACAAGCACUAAGGGCUAUAGCUCAGUUGGUAGAGCAACUCGUUUACACGCGCGCCAAUGUUUUUCAAGGGAGUUCAUCAUACAAUCAGAAAAAUCGAUCUUGUUGAGAAAUCGAUGUCUUACUCCAUAACUUUGAGGGAACCAUAGCCUGACAAAGGGUUCGGUCCAAUUUGGACGUCCAUUUAGGAGGUGCCAAACAGACCCCAUCAUUGAUUUGAGAUCUUGAUAAGGUGAAUACCCAGUCUAUUCAAUGCUAGGCAUAAUGAGAGUAUAAGGACCUCAAAAAAAUCUCUUUUCGUCAUAUGAACUUUAAGGUGUAUGAAGUUUCAUAUUUGAUUUUUUAAGCAGAAACGAUAGAGACUUCAUUUAACUUAGGUUUAUUUACGCCAGAGAUAGACCUACGUCAAGAUAAUCCCACCUUUGAAACACUUUAGUAAUGCUCCCAAAUAAUGAAUCAGAGCAUGUGGAGCC
Molecule: long non-coding RNA, 5372 nt
Filed under: Capsicum annuum
Lineage: Eukaryota; Viridiplantae; Streptophyta; Magnoliopsida; Solanales; Solanaceae
Description: long non-coding RNA (CANN_LNC020589)
Source: RNAcentral